GAUCAUGGCUCAGGAUGAACGCUAGCUACAGGCUUAACACAUGCAAGUCGAGGGGCAGCGGGAUUGAAGCUUGCUUCAAUUGCCGGCGACCGGCGCACGGGUGAGUAACGUGUAUCCAACCUUCCGUACACUCAGGGAUAGCCUUUCGAAAGAAAGAUUAAUACCUGGUGGUAUGAUGAGAUUGCAUGAUAUCAUCAUUAAAGAUUUAUCGGUGUACGAUGGGG
This 224-nucleotide ribosomal RNA is filed under the name uncultured bacterium. RNAcentral describes it as "partial 16S ribosomal RNA". It matches the Rfam family "Bacterial small subunit ribosomal RNA", at positions 15 to 230 of the family's 1533-position model. The record is from RNAcentral.